GACGAGCUCUCCAAACGUUAUUCGGUAUUACUGGGCUUAAAGAGUUCGUAGGCUGUCUAGUAGGUGAGGUGUGAAAGCCCUCGGCUCAACCGAGGAACUGCGCUUCAAACCGCUAGGCUUGAGGGAGGUAGGGGUAUGCGGAACAGAUGGUGGAGCGGUGAAAUGCGUUGAUAUCAUCUGGAACACCGGUGGCGAAAGCGGCAUACUGGACCUUUUCUGACGCUGAGGAACGAAAGCUAGGGUAGCGAACGGG
This 253-nucleotide ribosomal RNA is filed under the name uncultured bacterium. RNAcentral's name for it is "partial 16S ribosomal RNA". It matches the Rfam family "Bacterial small subunit ribosomal RNA", at positions 524 to 776 of the family's 1533-position model. The record is from RNAcentral.